GAUGAACGCUGGCGGCGUGUCUAAGGCAUGCAAGUCUAUCGUGUUACCUUCGGGUAACGCGAGGCAAACGGGAGAGUAACACAUUGGUAACCUACCCUGAAAGACGAGGAUAACUUCGAGAAAUCGGAGAUAAUACUCGAUAAAGGCGGGGGGAUAUAAAUCAUUCCCGCCUAAAGCUCCGGCGCUUCGGGAGGGGCCUAUGGCCUAUCAGUUUGUUGGUGAGGGUAAAAGCCCACCAAGACUAUGACGGGUAGCGGGUGUGAGAGCAUGACCCGCCUCACUGGGACUGAGACACUGCCCAGACUCCUACGGGAGGCUGCAGUCGAGAAUCUUCCUCAAUGGCCGAAAGGCUGAAGGAGCGACGCCGCGUGCAGGAAGACGCCCCUCGGGGUGUAAACUGCUUUUAUGUGGGACGAAACAAUGACGGUACCACAAGAAUAAGGGGCUGCUAACUUCGUGCCAGCAGCAGCGGUAAUACGAAGGCCCCAAGCGUUAUCCGGAUUUAUUGGGUGUAAAGGGUCCGCAGGCGGUUUAACGCAUCUCCUGUUAAAUCUCAAGGCUCAACCUUGAGGCCGCGGGAGAGAUGGUUAAACUAGAGACCGGGAGAGGCACAUGGAAUUGCUGGUGUAGGGGUUAAAUCCGUUAAUAUCAGCAGGAACACCAAAUGCGAAGGCAGUGUGCUAGAACGGUUCUGACGCUCAGGGACGAAAGCGUGGGGAGCGAAUGGGAUUAGAUACCCCAGUAGUCCACGCCGUAAACGAUGGAUGCUAAGCAUUGGAAGUAUCGACCCUUCCAGUGCUGUCUACUUAAGCUAACGCCUUAAGCAUCCCACCUGGGGAGUACGAGCGCAAGCUUAAAACUCAAAGGAAUGACGGG
Molecule: ribosomal RNA, 876 nt
Filed under: uncultured bacterium
Lineage: Bacteria
Description: bacterial SSU rRNA
Rfam family: Bacterial small subunit ribosomal RNA
Source: RNAcentral